UUUUUUGACACAGGGUCUUAUGUGUUGCCCAGGCUAGUCUCGAACUCCUGGACUCAAGCAGCCCUCCCACUUCAGCCUCCCAAGUAGGUGGGAUUACAGGCACACACCACCAUGUCCAGCUCCACUUCUAAUUUUAGUUAUCUUGCUAUUAUCACCACAUGCUGCAAGCAACUUCUUCCAAACUCCCAUUUUGACCACGUCUCAUGAAUCACAAAUGUUCUUAAUGGCCUUUAGAAUGCUGAAUCCUUUCCAGAAAGUUUUCUAUGUUCUUUGCCCAGAUCCAUCUGAGGAAUCACUCUCUAUGGCAGCUAUAGCCUUACAAAAUGUAUUUCCUAAAAAAUAAGACUUGAAAUUCAAAAUGACUCCUUGAUCCAUGAGCUGCAGGAUGGAUGUUGUGUUAGCAGCAUGCAAACAGCAUUCAUCUUGUACAUCACCCACGGAGCUCAUGGAUGACCAGGUGCAUUGUCAGUGUUGUCAAUGAGCAGUAAUACUUUGAAAGGAAUCUUUUUCUGAACAGUAGGUCUCACGGGUAGGCUUAAAAUAGUAAACCAUACUGUAAACAGAUGUGCUGUCACCCAAACUUUUUCUGUUUUUAAAGCACAGGCAGAGUAGACUUAGCUCUCAGAUUUUCUUCAAAAUGUGAAUGAGCAUUGGCUUUAGUUUAAAGCCUCCAGCGGCAUUAGCCCCUAACAAGUCAGCCUAUCCUUUGAAACAAGACAUUGACUCCUCUUCAGCUAUGAAAGUGCUAGCUGGCAUCAUAUUCCAAUAUAAGGCUGUUUUGUUUGCAUUGAUCAUUUGCUGUUUAAUGUAGCCAUCUUCAUUAAUUAUCUUUGCUAGAUCAUCUAGAUGGCUUCUCCAUCAGCACUUGCUGUUCCAUCUUGCACUUUUUAUGUUGUGGGGAUGGCUUCUUCCCUUAUACCUCAUGAACCAAUCUCUGCUAGUUUCUACCUUUUCUUUUGCAGCUCCCUCGCCUCUCUCAGCCUUCAUAGAAUUGAGGAGAGUUAGGGUCUUGCUCUGGAUUAGGCUUUGGCUUACAGGAACGUUGUAUCUCAUUUGAUCUCGUAUCCAGAUCACUCAAACCUUCUCCCUAUCCGCCGCAAUAAGGCUGUUUCACUUUUUUGUGUGUGUUUAAUGGAGAAGCUCUUUUAAUUUCCUUCAGUAACUUUUCCUUUGCAUUCACAACUUGGCCAACUGUUUGGUGCAAGAGGCCUGGCAUUUGGCCCAUUUUGGCUUUUGAUGUACUUCCUCAUUUCCCGGCCAUUAUUUCUUUAGGGUUUUUUGUUUUGUUUUGUUUUCCCUUUUUCUCUCUUGUUGGGAUUCCUAUAUGCGUGCAUUGGUAUUUCUAAUGGUGUCCCAUGGGUCCCGUAGGUUCUGUUCUGUUCUUACUUGUGCUCCUCAGACUGGGUAAGUUCAACUGCCUUCUCUUCACCUUUGCUAAUUCUGCCUGCUCAAGUCUGCUGCCGAAUCCUUCCAGUGAAUGCUUUAAUUUCAGCUAUUGUGUUUUUCAGUUCCCGAGUUUCUAUUUGGUUCCUUGUUAUCAUUUCUAUCUCUGUUGACAUUUUCUGUUUGUUCAUACAACAGUUGAUGAACAUCUUUGACUAGUAAUUCUAAUAUCUGGGCUUCCCCAGUGACAGUUUCUGUCAUAUUCUUUUCUUCCCAUAAGUCAGCCAUAUUUUCCAUUUUAUUUGUGUGCUUUGUAAUUUUGUGUUGAGGACUGUACAGUUUGAAUAUGACACUGCAGUAGCUCUGGAAAUCAGAUUAUCCCUCUCCUCAGGGAUUGCUUCUGUUACUUGUUGAGGGCUGCAGUUCAUUUGUGUAGUGAAUUUUCCAAGUUAUUUUUGCGAAGUCUGUAUUCCUGAGGUUCUUGGUCUUUUUAUUGUCUCUGGUCAGCCUGUAACCUGACAGAAAUUUCCUUAAAUGUCUGGAUCUUUUCUUCUUUUUUUUGAGAUGGGGUCACACUCUGUCACCUAGGCUACAGUGCAGUGGCACGAUCAUAGCUCACUACAGCCUCUAACGCCUUGGCUCAAGGGAUCUUCUCGCCUCAGCCUCCGAGUAGCUAGGACUAUAGGAAUGCACCACCAUGCCCGGCUAAUUUAUUUAUUUUAUUUUUGUAGACACGCAGUCUCGCUGUGUUACCCAGGGUGGUCUUGAACUCGGGCUCUAAUGAUCCUCUCGCCUCAGCCUACCAAAGUGCUGGGAUUUCAGGCGUGCAUAACUGCGCCUGGCCCAAUAUCUAGAUCUUUUUUUUUAAAAGAAGUGUAUGUCUCUAAAUUUUCUGAUAGAUGGUAUUGGGGAAAUUGCUGCAGCCUGAGGGGGUCGAGACAAAGGCACGCAUCGACGCUGGUCCCUCAGGGCACCACCAUGUGACCAAAAUGCACAGGGUCCUCGCUGAGGACAGGCUGCAGCAGGUAGGUUGGCUGUCCAUCCACACCACCCUCUUAACCAGAAAGCUGCAGCCUCUGCAUCAUCAAGCCUUCCCCGGGUUGAGGAAGCAUCUGAUGAGGUGACAGAGUUAGAAAACAGUUGAUUCUGCUAAUUUGUUGUCCAGCUUAAUGGUGGUUUUGGUGGAAGAACCAAUUAAUCCCUGAAGCUUCCUGCCCUGCCGUUUUCUGUGACGUCACUGCUGUCUUAAAACUAUAAAUAUUAGUCAUAUUAAAAAAAAACUAUAGGCUGGGCGCAGUGGCUCACGUCUGUAAUCCUAGCACUAUGGGAGGCUGAGGCGGGCGGAUCACGAGGUCAGGAGAUUGAGACCCUCCUGGCUAACAUGGUGAAACCCUGUCUCUACUAAAAAUACAAAAAAUUAGCCGGGUGUAGUGGUGGGUGCCUGUAGUCCCAGCUACUCAGGAGGCUGAGACAGGAGAAUGGUGUGAACCUGGGAGGCGGAGCCUGCAGUGAGCUGAGAUUGCGCCACUGCACUCCAGCCUGGGUGACAGAGCGAGACUCCAUCUCAAAAAAAAAACAAAAACAAAAAACACAACUAUAGCUAAAUAACAGUCAUAUAAAAUAAAUUGUUUGCAGUACUUAUCAAAUUUCAGUUUAACUUUUGAAAGUCAUAGUAUUUAAGGUAACAAACUCAGCUAUUAAUACAUUUUAUGAUGCUUUAAAAAGCUCAAAGAAUUGAACAGCUAUUGGUGCUAAGUUAUAAUUGUGUUCUAUAAAAUAAAUGUGAUUCACUAUUCUUUGUAAUUGCUACCUCCUGGUAUGUAUAAGAUAAAGAAUUUGAAUUUUACCUAUUUUCUCACAUACUAAUUUGGUGACGUAUCCUUUUAACUGUUGGCAAAUGUUAUAGGCUCUCUUGGCCUGUUUUUUAUUCCAUUAUUUUAACAUCUUUUGCAGUUUUCUCACAUAAGAUUGAAAACUGAAUCUAUGUGAAAUAAGCAGGUGUCUAUCAGUAAUGAUAUUUAAAAUAUGUCGCAGCUGGAUUCCCUGUUUUGUAGGAGCAUCUGAAAUCAGCCAUAGCGGAACAGAUGGAAAUGCCCCAUUUGUCGGGGUCAAGAAGGAAAAGUUCUUACAUAGUUUUACACAUUUGGCUGGUGAUUGAUUUUGUGAAAAGAUAUGUUAAAAUUUGUUUGUUUUUUGAGACGGAGGCUCACUGUGUUGCCCUGGCUGGAGUGCAGUGGCGUGAUAUUGGCUCACUGCAACCUCUGCCUCUCGGACUCAAGCAAUCCUCCUGUCUCAGCCUACUGAGUAGCUGGGAUUACAGGCUCCCGCCACCACACCCAGCUAAUUUUUGUAUUUUUAGUAGAGAUGGGGUUUCACCAUGUUGGCCAGGCUGAUCUCAAACUCCUGACGUCAAGUGAUGCACCUGCUUCAGCUUCUAAAAGUGCUGGGAUUACAGGCUUGAGCCACAGCGCCCGGUCUGAAAAGAUAUGUUUAAAAAUUUUAUUUUAAAAAGGUGCUGCAAGACAAUUCUACUAAAUCUCUAAUCUUUAAACUUUUUUUUUAACCUCUUCACUGAGAUUAGGAAAAGAAUCUUGAUAUGACUCCUAGGUGAUAACUGUAUAAACAGACAACACCCCUACUCUUCAUCAUUCUAAUAAAGAGAUAGGAGUAUAUGCUUCAUUUGUUUAAAGUCCUUUAUUCAAACUCUCCUACUCCUAACAUCAGAGGACAUGUUACUCUACUUUUUCAUAAAAACAAACUUGUGUAGUUAUUAGAAAGCAUCUAUUCACGGCAUCAUUAACAAAUUAGGCAUUAUACAGAAGUGAAUUUUCCAGGCAACUGAAGUGCUGCCUUAAACACAAAACUUUUUAUCUUAACCUAUCUGAAGUGUAUUCCCUGUAUUUCUACCUUCUGAAGCAGAACAAUGAUAGCAUUCAUUUCUUGGGGAUCCCCAGGUGUUAACUCUAGUAAAUCUUUUAAGGAGGGCUUUGUUCCCCUUCGUACUGAUGAGGGUCUAGCACUGUUGUAUGGUGCAUUGAAGACUAGCAUUCAGACCCCAUCCUGUCUCCAUUCAUCAUGGUGAAAGUCAGGUAUUGCGCUGGAAGUUAAUGCAGUAAUACACUUAGAGAACAUGAGUUACCCCACGCUAAAUUAGACUCAAACUAAUGCGUUUUCACGUUUUCAUUUUUAAAUGGCUUUUCUGUCUCUCUGUCAGGCAUCAUGUAUGCCUCCCCUGUCUUGAGUUGGGGCUAAAAAAUCAAGUGACUGAACUUAAGGUAAUUAUUUUUAAAACAACUAAAAUGAAAGUAUUAAUAAAGUGCUGAGGUUUUUACAUUUAUUUUUCCUGCCAGAGCAAAAAAAAAAAAAAAAAAAAAAAAAACCAUUUACUUUUCUCAUUGAUCACUGUUAGAAUUUUUCUGGUUUCUGUAAGUGAAUGUCAAAAGGUUCAGACACUUGACUAAGCUGUAAUUCGGAUCAGCAGCAGUGUUAACACCAGUGUUUAGGCCUCUGAGAGUAAAAACAAUGUGUCGUACUGCCAAGUAUUGUUCCUGUUACUACCCAAUUCUUCAGUAUCUCAGGACACAGUUUAUCCUAAAAAGGUGUCCUGUUUGCUAACUACAGUGGCUGUGUUAUCGUUAAAGGAAAUACUGGGAAGUGUUACGGUCACCAGCUUCAAGUCACUGUCAUCUACCAAUGAGAUAGGGGCUACCAAGUAAAAUGUAGCCCAGGGCCACAUUCACAGAUGGAAGUGUUCAGUUAAGCAAAAGUAAAGUUACAUACUAAAAGCCCACAUGAAGAAGGAUUUGGAGAUAUUUCUUCUUGCUUUGCUUUGGCUGUAAAGUUCUGUACAUGUAUCAAACAGAGCAUUUCAACAGGCUGGCUAAUGUGUAGGAAGCUAGCUUUUCUUUGUGAUAUAAUUUGUCAUGUAAAAUCAUAAGCUAUUUUACAAGUGUAUUUCAUUCACUAUCUUAAAAUUCAUAUGGUUUUAUUUAAAGAUAAUUUCAUCAAACAGCUGAAUUCUAAAAUCCUACCUUUUUUUCAAAAUCAUUUUUCAGAACUUUGCAAUAACAGGAAGUAAAGAAUCAGAAGGGUGUUAAAAAAUUGAUUUGGGGGGAAAAACAUUUGGACAUUUUGCUGGCUAGGUUUACGAAAUAUACACAUCCAGCAAACAUGUGAGUCCCUUUAGGGUACAGUGCAGUGAAGGGAGAAGUGGAAAUACUCAAGGUUCUGGGGAAGGUCAAAUGAAGGGUCCCUCACAUUGGCUGAGGCCAACCUGGCUUCAGAGGUGUGCAGAGGCACCAGGCCGAGAACAGGGCUUUGCAGUGGUGAGGGCAAAACAUGAACACAAGAAAUACCCUAAGUUACUGUACCUGGUUGUGCCUGGUGACAGAUGGGACCAGCUCUUUUCUCCAUUUGGUAAUUUUGGAAAAUUUGGCAGAGUUAAUAAAGAAAUCCCCUUGGUGCAAGAUUGCUACAAUAAGAAUCUAUUAUAGAUGGCAGAUGUGAAGUUCACAGUCCUUUUUAUUAUCCUAACCUAGUAACAUGACUAGAGGUAAAAUUAAAUAUUGAGUUAGAUGAUUGUUUAAUAUUUUAAAACCAGAGGGAAGACAUACAAAUAGAUUGAGGGCAGUUUCUUUCUAAAGAUAAUCAGAAUAUAUCUCCUAUAUUUUAAACACUGCAGGAACAGUCAAAACUUUAAAAUAAAUGGUUUCCACAUUUUUUUAUCCCCAUCUCUCCCCCUGACUAUAUGGUAAAAUAUUUUAUUUGGCAACCACGUUUUCCUACUUUUAAUCACACACAUCAUCAGAGCUUUUCAUCAGCCUAACUAGUCUUCCUGCUCACUGAGUUGUGACGAAAGCCUGGUCUAGGCACUUUUACCACGGCCAUGUUUUUGUUAAGAUCCCUGCAGACUGUGAACUAUGAAAACCAGCCCCUGGCCCCGCUUGUGGGUGCUGCAGAGCCGCGUGUGAACUGCUCCUAGGAAACCGCGUCUCUGGGCAGGGUGGCUCUCGGGCCGUGGAUCCCCCUAAAAGCUUUUCUGCCAGUGACGCCCUUGGUCUCUGGAUGUGUUCACGCCUCAGUGAUUUUACUCUCUGGUUUCUUGUGUGUGCUUGAGAUUCUUGAGAGAAAGCGUGCUGCAGAUGAAAAAUGCAGCCUACAUGAAAAAGAGAAGGGGAAAGCCAUUUUAAAAUAACUUCCAUGUAAGUUACUGUAAUCAAAGUGCUGCUGCCUGUGUGUUCAUAAAAAAAUAUGUGCAAGGGCCUGGAGCGGUGGCUCAUGCCUGUAAUCCCAGCACUUUGGGAGGCCGAGGUGGGCGGAUCACUUGAGGUCAGGAGUUAGAGACCAUCCUGGCCAACAAGGUGAAACCCCGUCUCUACUUUAAAAAUACAAAAAAAUUAGCCAGGUGUGGUGGCGCGUGCCUGUAGGUCCCAGCUACUCAGGAGGCUGAGGCAGAGGCUGCAGUGAGCCGAGACCGCGCCACUGCACUCCAGUCUGGGCGACAGAGCGAGACUGUCUCCAAAAAAAUAAUUCAAAUGCGAACCCGGCUCUCAUGGCGCCCCGGCCACGGAGAGCCUGGGGGAGUGGGAUAAAAACGGCGCUGGGAUGGGAGGGCGGCUUGUCCGCGAACUCCUCCCACCACGCGCGGACCAAAGCCGCCGGCGCCCCGCUUCCGGGGCCGCCCUUAACCGCGGCCGCCGCUCCCUGAGGGGCCGCCUGACCCGGCGGAAAGCCAGGCUGUGUGGCCGGAGGUCACCACCCCGACCCCGACUAGUCCCGCAGCGCCUGACCCCUUCGUGGGCGGCCCCGACCGCCGCGGCUCGAGGAGGGGCGGGGCUGGGGCGGCCGAGCUCUCGCGAGGUUUCGUCGGGGGCUGGCGGCCGCGGCUCGGCGGAGAGUGCGGGAUGCGCUCGGAAAAGGAGGGGGCCGGAGGCCUUAGGGCGGCCGUUGCCGCGCGGGGCCCGAGCGGGAGGGAGAAGCUGUCGGCCCUAGAAGUGCAGUUCCACCGCGACUCGCAGCAGCAGGAGGCUGAGACGGCGCCAACCUCGUCCUCCGGUUGCGGGGGCGGUGCGGGCAAACCUCGCGAGGAGAAGAGGACGGCCCUGAGCAAGGUGGUCAUCCGCCGCCUGCCUCCGGGCCUCACCAAGGAGCAGCUGGAGGAGCAGCUGCGCCCGCUGCCAGCACACGACUACUUCGAGUUCUUCGCCGCCGACCUGAGUCUUUAUCCUCAUCUCUACUCAAGAGCAUACAUUAAUUUUAGGAAUCCUGAUGACAUCCUUCUUUUUAGAGAUCGUUUUGAUGGAUAUAUCUUCCUUGACAGCAAAGGCCUAGAAUAUCCUGCAGUGGUAGAGUUUGCUCCAUUCCAGAAGAUAGCCAAAAAGAAGCUGAGAAAAAAAGAUGCCAAGACUGGAAGCAUCGAAGAUGAUCCAGAAUAUAAGAAGUUUUUAGAAACCUACUGGGUGGAGGAAGAGAAGACCAGUGCCAACCCUGAGACUCUGCUGGGGGAGAUGGAGGCGAAGACAAGAGAGCUCAUUGCUAGAAGAACCACACCUCUUUUGGAAUAUAUUAAAAAUAGAAAAUUAGAAAAGCAGAGAAUUCGAGAAGAGAAGCGAGAAGAACGGAGGAGGAGAGAGUUAGAAAAGAAACGUUUGCGGGAAGAGGAAAAAAGAAGAAGAAGAGAAGAAGAAAGAUGCAGAAAAAAAGAGACAGAUAAACAGAAGAAAAUUGCAGAGAAAGAAGUGAGGAUUAAGGUCACACAGCGGCAGUGAUAAAGAGCACAGGGAUGUGGAGAGAUCUCAAGAACAAGAAUCUGAAGCACAAAGACACCAUGUGGAUGACGGCAGGAGGCACAGAGCUCACCACGGGCCUGAACGGCUUUCCAGAAGGAGUGAGGAUGAGCAGAGAUGGGGGAAAGGACCUGGCCAAGACAGAGGGAAGAAGGGGAGCCAGGACAGCGGGGCUCCAGGGGAGGCCAUGGAGAGACUGGGAAGAGCGCAGAGGUGUGACGACAGUCCAGCACCCAGAAAAGAGCGACUGGCAAACAAGGACCGGCCAGCCUUGCAGCUGUAUGAUCCAGGAGCUCGCUUCCGAGCGCGAGAGUGUGGCGGAAACAGGAGGAUCUGCAAGGCAGAAGGUUCGGGGACUGGUCCUGAGAAGAGGGAAGAGGCAGAGUGAGUCACUGCAUGCACCUGGCCUCCAUGGACGAGCGAGGGCAUCCCAGAAACGUGUAAAUGACCCCGAGUGUGACUGGGAAGGAGAACUUACUCCUUACCAGGAAACUGGAAGCUAAAAAUACAGAGGGUGACGUAGAAACACGCAGAAACCAUUCUAAAGAAAGUAGUGAUCUUGUAUUAAACUGAGCAGAAUUCUCACAGAUUUUACCAUUCCUGUUAUAAACUAGUAUUUGUUGUUUAGCCAAAACAGAAAAUGAUUUCCACUGGACAGUAGAAAAAUAUGUGUAAAAUAGGGAAGAAAGUUAGUAUUGGAUCAGUGUGAGUCCUGAAGCACUUUCAGUGCUGUGAGAACGACAUCCACUUUGGGUUUCAUUCAUUUGUAAGCAGAGGAGCUGUCAGUCACUCCUGCUUCUCGGUGGCCUCUGAGCCAUGGUGUCGAGUGAAGAGUAGUUCUUGUUCGUUACAACCUUUGUGAGUCAGCCAUGCCUGCAAAGCGUGCUGUGUUUUAGUCCUGGUAGGAAUAUUUAUCAGAGUUCACACUAUAUAAAACCCACCAGCUUCAACUAUUGCCCUUUCAACAGUUUUGCCGCUGACCGGAUAAAAACGGUUUCAGUCUUUGGAUGGAUGUGUUUGUGGUUUGUAACCAUUACGGUUUAAACCAUGGUUUAAGAAUUUGCCCAAAUAACAGAAAUUUUGUUUGGGAAGGGAUAAACUAGAUAUAGCAUAUAGAGCCUGUUUUUGAGUUUUAGAUACUUUAUUUGUAAAUAACUUAAAAUAGCUUUCUGAAACCGUGCAUUCUGUAGUUUCUUCCUUUCAGUGAAAUUGCUAAAUGUCAAUGUAUUUUUGGCACUGCGAUUUUAACCAUUUAUUAAAUUAAAAUUUUGUUAAAGAA
Pan troglodytes (chimpanzee) is the source of this 9447-nucleotide RNA transcript. It is a transcript of the gene named UPF3A regulator of nonsense mediated mRNA decay, with no coding region annotated. The record is from RefSeq and is a predicted model, not a curated record. The transcript is spliced from 9 exons. NCBI's taxonomy places the organism in Eukaryota, Metazoa, Chordata, Mammalia, Primates, Hominidae.